UCUAUUUUGUCAGAUAAAUGUGUUAAAUUUAGGAUUUAAUUAUGUAAAUAAAAUUACAAAUAGUA
Molecule: transfer RNA, 65 nt
Filed under: Mycopsylla fici
Lineage: Eukaryota; Metazoa; Arthropoda; Insecta; Hemiptera; Carsidaridae
Description: tRNA-Leu
Source: RNAcentral